Molecule: unclassified non-coding RNA, 704 nt
Filed under: Hevea brasiliensis (rubber tree)
Lineage: Eukaryota; Viridiplantae; Streptophyta; Magnoliopsida; Malpighiales; Euphorbiaceae
Source: RNAcentral
GAACAGCUGUAAUGGCUCUUGCUAAUAGGUCAUCUGAUGGAUCAGUUUUUGAUUCAUGCCACUGGGCUGACGGUUUGCCUUUGAAUCUUAGACUCUAUGAGAUACUUCUGGAGGCAUGCUUUGAUAUAAAUGACGAAGCGUCUAUCAUAGAGGAAGUUGAUGAACUUAUGGACCUCAUAAAGAAAACUUGGGGGAUUCUCGGACUUAAUCAAAUGCUUCACAAUAUUUGCUUUUCAUGGGUUUUAUUUAAUCGUUAUGUCGCGACUGGUCAAGUUGAUAACGAUCUGUUAGACGCUGCUGAUAGUCAGCUAGCUGAAGUCGCUAAAGAUGCAAAGACCACUAAAGAUCCUGCAUAUGCUAAGAUCCUGAAUUCUACAUUAACAGCAAUGCUGGGAUGGGCUGAGAAAAGGCUUCUUGCAUACCAUGACACUUUUGAUGCUGGGAAUAUUGAAUCAAUGCCAACCAUUGUAUCUAUAGGGGUAUCUGCAGCAAGAAUUCUUGUUGAAGAUAUUUCUAAUGAGUACCGGCGGCGGCGUAAGGGCGAAGUUGAUGUGGCUCGUAGUAGAAUUGACACUUACAUCAGGUCAUCACUUCGCACUGCAUUUGCACAGUUAAUGGAGAAGGCGGAUUCAAGCAGGAGAGCAUCAAGACACCAACCAAAUCCUCUUCCUGUCCUUGCCAUCCUUGCAAAGGAUGUUGGUGAG